UAAGUUAGAAAGGGCGCACGGUGGAUGCCUUGACACUAGGAGUCGAUGAAGGACGGGACUAACGCCGAUAUGCUUCGGGGAGCUGUAAGUAAGCUUUGAUCCGAAGAUUUCCGAAUGGGGAAACCCACCAUACGUAAUGGUAUGGUAUCCUUAUCUGAAUACAUAGGGUAAGGAAGACAGACCCAGGGAACUGAAACAUCUAAGUACCUGGAGGAAGAGAAAGCAAAUGCGAUUUCCUGAGUAGCGGCGAGCGAAACGGAACAUAGCCCAAACCAAGAGGCUUGCCUCUUGGGGUUGUAGGACAUUCUAUACGGAGUUACAAAGGAACGAGGCAGACGAAGCGACCUGGAAAGGUCCGUCGUAGAGGGUAACAACCCCGUAGUCGAAACUUCGUUCUCUCUUGAAUGUAUCCUGAGUACGGCGGAACACGUGAAAUUCCGUCGGAAUCUGGGAGGACCAUCUCCCAAGGCUAAAUACUCCCUAGUGAUCGAUAGUGAACCAGUACCGUGAGGGAAAGGUGAAAAGCACCCCGGAAGGGGAGUGAAAGAGAUCCUGAAACCGUGUGCCUACAAAUAGUCAGAGCCCGUUAACGGGUGAUGGCGUGCCUUUUGUAGAAUGAACCGGCGAGUUACGAUCCCGUGCGAGGUUAAGCUGAAGAGGCGGAGCCGCAGCGAAAGCGAGUCUGAAUAGGGCGUUUAGUACGUGGUCGUAGACCCGAAACCAGGUGAUCUACCCAUGUCCAGGGUGAAGUUCAGGUAACACUGAAUGGAGGCCCGAACCCACGCACGUUGAAAAGUGCGGGGAUGAGGUGUGGGUAGCGGAGAAAUUCCAAUCGAACCUGGAGAUAGCUGGUUCUCCCCGAAAUAGCUUUAGGGCUAGCCUUAAGUGUAAGAGUCUUGGAGGUAGAGCACUGAUUGGACUAGGGGUCCUCAUCGGAUUACCGAAUUCAGUCAAACUCCGAAUGCCAAUGACUUAUCCUUAGGAGUCAGACUGCGAGUGAUAAGAUCCGUAGUCAAAAGGGAAACAGCCCAGACCGCCAGCUAAGGUCCCAAAGUGUGUAUUAAGUGGAAAAGGAUGUGGAGUUGCUUAGACAACUAGGAUGUUGGCUUAGAAGCAGCCACCAUUUAAAGAGUGCGUAAUAGCUCACUAGUCGAGUGACUCUGCGCCGAAAAUGUACCGGGGCUAAAUACACCACCGAAGCUGCGGAUUGAUACCAAUGGUAUCAGUGGUAGGGGAGCGUUCUAAGGACAGUGAAGUCAGACCGGAAGGACUGGUGGAGUGCUUAGAAGUGAGAAUGCCGGUAUGAGUAGCGAAAGACGGGUGAGAAUCCCGUCCACCGAAUGCCUAAGGUUUCCUGAGGAAGGCUCGUCCGCUCAGGGUUAGUCAGGACCUAAGCCGAGGCCGACAGGCGUAGGCGAUGGACAACAGGUUGAUAUUCCUGUACCACCUCUUUAUCGUUUGAGCAAUGGAGGGACGCAGAAGGAUAGAAGAAGCGUGCGAUUGGUUGUGCACGUCCAAGCAGUUAGGCUGAUAAGUAGGCAAAUCCGCUUAUCGUAAAGGCUGAGCUGUGAUGGGGAAGCUCCUUAUGGAGCGAAGUCUUUGAUUCCCCGCUGCCAAGAAAAGCUUCUAGCGAGAUAAAAGGUGCCUGUACCGCAAACCGACACAGGUAGGCGAGGAGAGAAUCCUAAGGUGUGCGAGAGAACUCUGGUUAAGGAACUCGGCAAAAUGACCCCGUAACUUCGGGAGAAGGGUGCUUUCUUAACGGAAAGCCGCAGUGAAUAGGCCCAAGCGACUGUUUAGCAAAAACACAGCUCUCUGCGAAGCCGUAAGGCGAAGUAUAGGGGGUGACACCUGCCCGGUGCUGGAAGGUUAAGGAGAGGGGUUAGCGUAAGCGAAGCUCUGAACUGAAGCCCCAGUAAACGGCGGCCGUAACUAUAACGGUCCUAAGGUAGCGAAAUUCCUUGUCGGGUAAGUUCCGACCCGCACGAAAGGUGUAACGAUUUGGGCACUGUCUCAACCAGAGACUCGGUGAAAUUAUAGUACCUGUGAGAUGCAGGUUACCCGCGACAGGACGGAAAGACCCCGUGGAGCUUUACUGUAGCCUGAUAUUGAAUUUUGGUACAGUUUGUACAGGAUAGGCGGGAGCCUUUGAAACCGGAGCGCUAGCUUCGGUGGAGGCGCUGGUGGGAUACCGCCCUGACUGUAUUGAAAUUCUAACCUACGGGUCUUAUCGACCCGGGAGACAGUGUCAGGUGGGCAGUUUGACUGGGGCGGUCGCCUCCUAAAGUGUAACGGAGGCGCCCAAAGGUUCCCUCAGAAUGGUUGGAAAUCAUUCGUAGAGUGCAAAGGCAUAAGGGAGCUUGACUGCGAGACCUACAAGUCGAGCAGGGCGAAAGUCGGGCUUAGUGAUCCGGUGGUUCCGCAUGGAAGGGCCAUCGCUCAACGGAUAAAAGCUACCCCGGGGAUAACAGGCUUAUCUCCCCCAAGAGUCCACAUCGACGGGGAGGUUUGGCACCUCGAUGUCGGCUCAUCGCAUCCUGGGGCUGUAGUCGGUCCCAAGGGUUGGGCUGUUCGCCCAUUAAAGCGGUACGCGAGCUGGGUUCAGAACGUCGUGAGACAGUUCGGUCCCUAUCCGUCGUGGGCGUAGGAAAUUUGAGAGGAGCUGUCCUUAGUACGAGAGGACCGGGAUGGACGCACCGCUGGUGUACCAGUUGUUCUGCCAAGGGCAUAGCUGGGUAGCUAUGUGCGGAAGGGAUAAGUGCUGAAAGCAUCUAAGCAUGAAGCCCCCCUCAAGAUGAGAUUUCCCAUAGCGUAAGCUAGUAAGAUCCCUGAAAGAUGAUCAGGUUGAUAGGUUCGAGGUGGAAGCAUGGUGACAUGUGGAGCUGACGAAUACUAAUAGAUCGAGGACUUAACCA
This 2915-nucleotide ribosomal RNA is filed under the name Bacillus cereus E33L. RNAcentral's name for it is "bacterial LSU rRNA". It matches the Rfam family "Bacterial large subunit ribosomal RNA". The record is from RNAcentral. Lineage: Bacteria; Bacillati; Bacillota; Bacilli; Caryophanales; Bacillaceae.